Molecule: long non-coding RNA, 9216 nt
Filed under: Setaria italica (foxtail millet)
Lineage: Eukaryota; Viridiplantae; Streptophyta; Magnoliopsida; Poales; Poaceae
Description: long non-coding RNA (SITA_LNC001956)
Source: RNAcentral
GCAGGUUGUGCUGCUGCAGCUGUUGCCGGCGAUCGAUGGUGUGGUGUCGACUGCGAGGACGGUGAGUGUCCACCGCUGGAGCGCCGAGGGGUCCUGGGCGACACUGGUGCUGCCGAUGCCGACGACGGUGAAUGUAUGUUGAAUAACUUGUUGCACGUAUGCAUGUUUCCCUUUGGUUCAGUAGUGCAUUGUCACGUUGUUUAGGUGCAUUGCAUAAUUAGCUAGGCGUUUAGAGGUCACGAGUUAGCCAGAGGCGUGCUUGGUUCACGUCGUGGCCCAAGUCUUCCUUUUCUUUUGGAUUGCCGCAGCAUCUGCGGCAUGCACGUAGCGGGUGUCGCGGGCAACAACGCGCGUCGCGCACCGUUGGUGGUGUGGCGUGGGAUUCGGUCGUUAAGGCCAUGUAAUCCGGUGCAUAAAUACAAGUUUGUUUGGCAUCGAGGCUGCAAUAUUAUGCAGCGAAAUACUUCCUACUCUCUCUCGCGUUGUGUUGGUGUUCAUCUUCCUCGAGUUCUAGACACUUUCAUGUUCGUGUGUGCGUGAUCCGAGCUGCAAACUGAGUUCAACUCCAACGCGUGGCAUCAGAGCAGGUUCAUCCAUGGCCGGUGAAACAUCUCCUCCGCCGUCACCCACAAAAGCUCAAGGCGACGACAAGAGCAAGGCCGGUUCAAUGAAGAUCGGUUCUACACCCAAGAACGGCGGAGAUGGCGCUGGCGGGUCGCAGCAAGUCGUGGUUGAGAGGGUGGUGAAGGAGAUCGGCGGAUAGAUCACGUAUCCGGAGCUGACGCGCUCGAAUUAUAGCGAGUGACCUCUUGUGAUGCAGGUGAAUCAUGAGGCGCAAGGGCUCUGGGAGGCGAUCAAUGACGGCACCAUGGAUCGGCGGGAGGAUCGGAUGGCACUGGCAGCGCUCCUGCGCGCCGUGCCGUUUGAGAUGCGCUUGACCCUUGCCAAGAAGAAGACUGCAAAGUAGGCGUGGGAGGCGAUCGAGACGAUGCGGCUCGGCAUUGAUCGUGUCAAGGCGGCCAAUGCCCAGAAGCUGCUGCAGGAGUUCGAGAACAUCACCUUCAAGGAAGGUGAGGCUGUCGACGAGUUCGCCAUGCGAAUUUCCAACCCCGCCAGGUGCAUCCGCAUGCUUGGUGAAACCCUGGAGGAGGCACGGGUCAUGAAGAAGAUGCUUCGUGUCGUACCCGCGCACUAUGGCCAAAUCGCUUUGUCGAUCGAAACUCUGCUCAAUCUGAGCAAGUUAUCGAUUGAAGAGCUGGUUGGGCGCUUGCGCGCUGCGGAGGACCAGUUUACCGGCAACGACGGCGGCAAGAUCCGCAACAAAUCCGGGCGACUGAUGAUGGCGGAAGAGGAUUGGCUCACGAAGUGGUGGAACAAGAUCCCUGGAGAAGCUACAUCAAGCGGAGAGAAGGUAGGUGGACAGGCUCAGAGCCUCGAAGAUCCAGUGCGGUGCUCGCUCCGAUGGCCGCAACGCUCCAGUGAAGCUGACGACCAAAGGCACCCCGCGGUGGAAGGGGCGGUGCCACAACUGCGGCAUCUAUGGCCGCUGAGCCAAAGAGUGCCAGAAGCCACAGAAGAAGAAGGAACGGCGGGAGGAGGCACACCUCGCCAAGGUCGACAUCGAACAGCCGGCGCUCCUGCUUGCAGCGACAGGCAAACACGAGUCCAUGACAUUGCACGUCGUCUACCUCAACGAACAGCGCGUGCGGCCGGCCGACUGCAAUGACGACAACGUGUGGUAUCUGGACUCGGGUGCCAGCAAUCACAUGGUGGGACGCCGUUCCACACUGGCGCAGAUCAACGAAACCGUGCGUGGAAUGGUCCGUUUCGGCGACGACUCACUGGUGGAGAUAUGCGGCCUUGACUCCGUCGUGAUCCAGGGACACCAGGAUGAGCACAAGGUACUCACGGAUGUGUACUUCAUACCUAAAUUAAGAAGAAACAUUGUGAGUCUAGGCCAGCUGGAGGAAGCGGGGUGCAAGAUCAUGAUGGAGAAUGUAGAGCUGUGUGUGCUCGAUCGUGAAUGCGCACUGCUUGUCAAGGCACCACGCACGGUGAACCGGCUGUACAAGGUGUCUCUCACACUUGCGUCACCGGUGUGCAUGCUGGCCAAGAAUGACGACGCGGCAUGGCUCUGGCAUGGCCGCUACGGCCAUCUGAAUUUCAGGGCACUGCGGGAACUUGACGUAAAGGAGAUGGCAGAGGGGAUGCCGGUAAUUAAUCAGCUUGAGCCGGUGUGCGAUGGCCGCACACGCGGCAAGCAGCACCGCGCACCGUUCCCCCAGGCAACGGCGUACAGAGCGGAGCGGCCCCUUGAGCUCGUGCACGCGGAUUUGUGCGGGCAGAUCAUGCCGCCAACGCCUGGUGGGAGGAACUAAUUUCUCCUCAUCGUGGAUGACCACAGCCGCUACAUAUGGGUGGAGCUCCUAGUGUUGAAGGACCAGGCGCUUGACUACAUCAAGAAGUACAAGAACUGCGCCGAGAGCGACCUGGAGACAAGGCUGAAGGCGGUGAGAACAGAUCGCGGUGGCGAGUUCAAUUCCAUCGCGUUCACGGGUUUCUGCGACGAGCACGGCAUCAAGCACUUCACCAUUUCUCCUUACACGCCCCAGCAAAAUGGUGUUGUAGAAUCAGACAGUUGUGGAGAUGGCAAGGUGCACGCUGAAGAGUAUGGGGUGCUGGCGCAGUUCUGCGGUGAGGCGGUACCGGCGGCCGUGUAUACGCUCAAUCGCGUGCCCACCAGAAGCCUCGACGGCCGUACUCCCUAUGAAGCCUGGCACAAGAAGAAGCCUAGUGUCUGUCGGGGAUAGAUUUCCAGUACCCGUAAGGAAGUAAGAAGGCGGAAUCCUACUAGAAUUCUCCUGUAAUCUUACAAGAACUCAUAUCAUGUAAUUCUUCUAGGACUCCUACUUUGUAACCAACUAGUAAUCCCACCUCUUGAAGUAUAUAAAGGAGGGUAGGGAUCCCUAUAUCGGUAGGUGAAAACCUCAUAGAACCACAAUAGAGGACCAAAUCCUCAAUACCAAAAAUCACCCAAGUGCAAGGCGCAAUAUACAACACCCUAAACAGGACGUAGGGUAUUACGCCACUUUGGCAGCCCGAACCUGUAUAAAUCUGUGCCUUGUGUCCUUAAUUUUACCUUCGAGUUAUAGGUCCGGCAAUCCCCCACCAACCAAUCUACUACCACAGGAUACCCCUUGGUAGGUUGUCGGGUAUAAAACACAGGCAUCUGGCAUGCCAGGUAGGGGUGAUCAUUGAGAUCAUCGGGCGAGUUUGAAAGACCUCAUCUUCAAAAUCAAUCUACUCGAUGAGAAGCAAGUCAUCGAGUUCCAAUUCGAAAUGGAUACGAGAAGUUUGCGGGAGAUCAAUCGGUUGUUGGCUCGUCUGUAUGCAAAAAGCUGCAGCACUAGUCAUACUGCUAUAGCUGAUCAUCCUCCGUGGCUUUGUGCGUCGCUCAACGCUGAUGAUCCGCUACUGCUCCACGCCCGUGAGAAGGAAAAAUACCGGCAAAAUAAUUUUUUCAUCUCCAAGUUGAAGUCACCGACAAUGCAUCUUAAGCUAAUUGCCUCUAGUUGUUGAAUCCUAUAUUGAAGUAAUGAAGGCUAAUCAAUAUUACAUCUAUUGCUCGUGCGCGAAUCGAGGAAACUAUAUGCUCUAGUACUCUCCAUACAAGGAUACUUUUUGGAGUUUCAUUACACGUACUAGGAAAGCCACCAGGAGAUUUGUUCCUCUUCACUACACGUACUCAUGAAAUGCACGUGGGACUUCAGCAUGCAUGAUUGCGCUGGCUUCACCAGACGCUCGGGAACACCAUAGCGACUACCUAAAACUUCUCAUCUCGACUACAAACUCGUCGAGGGCGGGUUCCACAUGAUCAACAACUAGUCAGAAUCGACUCCGACUAGUUGGCUUCAUCAACAACCGUAGCGGCUUCAACGACGAUUGCCAUGGUUUCAUCAAUAAUCGUCCACGAAUCAAGCUAAGUCACUUUUUUAAUUAUUUUAUAUAAUUUUCCCAGCUUGUUUUCUGCAUGCAAAGCAACGCGCCGACUACUUAUUUGUGUAUGCCUCUCGACGGAAAUUACCCUCUAGAGCUCCACUUUGUCAAUUAUUCAUGGGGCAUGUUAACCGACAGCCAAGGGUUUGGUACACCGAAUUACAGAGACUAUCGCCACGGGAUUGGUGCACUAAGUUUCAGAAGCUCUGCCACAGGCUUGGUACACCGAAUUAGGAGGCUCCACCAUGAAGUUUGGUGCAGGGAGCGCUGGAGGCUCGCAACGGCGCCCAAAGGAGGGAUAAAUUUUAUGCACGACAACACACGCUCUCCUCGCCAAAAAGGCAGAAAAGUCUCAACGACUAUUUUGCACGCAAUCGCGUGGUAUUUUUAUCACAAUGUCGACUACUUAUCUAUAAAGGUCUACUCUUAAUGGUCGCUAAUGUCCUCGAGUAGAACACGGCUUAUUCGUGAAAGUUUCGGAUCUUCUGCCAUGCCUAAACGCUAGGACGCGAGAUAAAGAUCUCCAUAGCAGUAGUACCAGUAUGCGUACACGAGACAAAUAUCUCACACACAGUGGCAAUGGCUAAAUAGGGACUACGAGCCUAAACAUAAUAGCCUAACUACUCAGAAAAAAUAUGGCCGAAACAAGAGCAUGACAGACAACAUUUACAUUACAUUUAUCACUGAAUAAAUUUCAGUAGUUUCAAUAUUCUACAAUAUGCUACAUAAUGUAUGCAUCUUUUUUUUCCUUUCAGGUCAAGCUUUGGUGACGACUCUCCACGACGCUCAGCGUACCUUCAGUGGCUCAGCUAGUUCCCAAACUCAGGGCUAAGCGCCAAUUACUACUCAGAAUACCUCCAGUAGCUCUGCUAGCUCUCAAGCUCGGGGGCUAAGCCCCAACAACUACUCGAUAUGGCUCCUACGGCUCACCUGUCGCAUAAGCUCAGGAGCUGGACGUCGCAAAACUACUCAGAUGAUAAUUUUGUGAAGACUGAAGACCCUCGGAUAGAUUAUUUAAUUAUUCCAAGACUUGGGGGCUGAUAAGAUACACCCAACAAUUGAUUUUUUCAAGACGAAGAAAGAAGAUUCAAGAUUUUAUUGACCCUCAUCUUGAUUAUUCGAUUCAACCUAAGGCUCGGGGGCUACUUCAUAUGGAGUGCGACUUCCGCCGCUCUCCGUAUCACAUUCCAAAGAUGAAGAUUACAAAAUUAAGAUGAUAAAGAACUUGAGCACACCAUAGCCUCAUGGAAGCUUUGAGGAACUUUGAAAAUUCAGCCAAACAAAGUACUCGAGGAGCACAAAAACUACUCGGUGAGGAUCUAAAAAGUACUCAAAGACUGCUACAUUCGACUAUGAAGCGCUCGGAGUCUUGUUGGGGAUAGAUCCCUAGUACCCACAAGGAAGGAAGAAGGCAGACUCCUACUAGAAUUCCCCUGUAAUCCUAUUAGGACUCAUAUCCUAUAAUCCUACUAGGACUCCUACAUUGUAACCGACUAGUAAUCCCACCCCUUGGAGUAUAUAAACGAGGGCAGGGAUCCCUAGAUCGGUAGGUGAAGACCUCAUAGAACCACAACAGAGGACCAAAUCCUCAAUACCAAACAACAUCCAAGCUAGGGCGCAAUAUAUAAUACCCCAAAUAGGACGUAGGGUAUUACGCUACUUUGGCAGCCCGAACCUGUAUAAAUCUGUGCCUUGUGUCCUUCCUUUACCUUCGAGUUAUAGGUCCGGCAAUCCCCCACCAACCAAUCUACUAUCACAGGAUACCCCUUGGUAGGUUGCCGGGUAUAAAACACCGAUAGUGUCUGCCACCUGCGUACGUUCGGGUGCACAGCGUUCACAAAACGCGUCGGGCCCGGCAUGAUGAAGCUGGCGGAUCGCUCCAUUCCUGGAGUGGUCAUCGGCUACGAGGCCGGGACAAAGGCCUACCGGGUGUUCGAUUCGGUGGGGAACAAGCUCAUCGUCACGCGCGAUGUCAUCUUCAACGAAAGGAGGCCAUGGAGCUAGGGGGCGACGAUGUCGUUGGCGUCGCCGCGUCUUCAGAGUUCACGGUGGAGAUUGCGACCACUGUAGCUCAUCCGACAAUGGGCGGAACUGCUUCAUCGACAGGGCCAGGGAGCCCCCACACACCAGCCACGUCUCUCCCUACCCCAGGCGCGCCAAUUUUUGCCACGCCAUCACCAGCACCCGCGGGAGGAAGUCCCACCGGAAUUCAGUGGGCCACACCACCGAGCCAAGAUGAUGUUGAUUCUGACGGAGUUCAACUCCGGUUCAGAACAAUAUCUGACCUUCUCGAUGACACAGAAGGAAUCCAUCACUUCGAGUACAGCGGGCAGUGCCUGCUAGGAGUGGAGGAGCCGAGCAGCGUCGAGCAAGAGCUGGUGGAACCACAGUGGCGCCAAGCAAUGGAAGCAGAGAUGCAGUCAAUCGAGGAGAACAGAACCUGGGAGUUUGUAGCUCUUCCUGCAGGACACCAUCCAAUCGGCCUCAAGUGGGUUUUCAAGGUCAAGAAAGAUCCAGCGGGCAAUAUAGUCAAGCACAAAGCCCGCCUAGUCGCAAAGGGAUAUGCACAGCGACAUGGAGUAGACUUUGAAGAAGUGUUCAUGCCAGUGGCGCGGAUGGAAACAGUUCGAGUGUUCUUGGCACUUGCAGCUAACGGAGGAUGGGAGGUGCAUCACAUGGAUGUGAAAUCGGUGUUCCUGAAUGGUGAUCUUGAGGAGGAAGUGUAUGUUCAGCAGCCCCCUGGUUUCUUUGUUGAUGCACAGACAGGCAAGGUUCUUAAGUUGAGGAAGGCAUUGUAUGGGUUGCGUCAGGCGUCGCGUGCCUGGAAUUCACGCCUUGACAAGGAACUGAUCGAGCUUGGUUUCAGGCGGAGCAGGCAUGAGCACGCUGUGUACCGCAGAGAGGAUGCUGGAGGAUAUUUUGUUGGCGUGUAUGUGGAUGACCUGAUCAUUACAGGUCAAAGGCUACUGAUGUCAAGGAAUUCAAGCUGGAGAUGAUGAAGAGAUUCAGUAUGAGUGAUCUUGGUCUCUUAAGUUACUAUUUGGGAAUUGAAGUCAAGCAAGGUGAAGGUGAAAUUACAUUGUGUCAAUCGUCCUAUGCUCUGAAAAUACUGGAAACAGCAGGGAUGAAAGACUGCAAUGCUUUGCAUACUCCAGUGGAAAACAGACUCAAACUGAAUAAAGAAAAUGGAGGAAAGUGGAGGCAACAAUGUUCAGAAGCAUUAUUGGUAGCCUGAGGUAUCUAGUGAAUACAAGAUCAGAUUUAGCUCAUUUAGUUAGUCUGGUUAGCAGGUUCAUGGAGGCUCCAGGUGUGCAGCACUGGGCAGCGCUGAAACACAUUCUUCGCUAUCUGAAGGGCACCAUUGGCUAUGGAUGCUGCUACAAAAGGGGUACCUCACCUAUCCCUGUACUUGUUGGAUUCAGCGAUAGUGAUUUUGCUGGGGAUGUUGAUGACCGAAAGAGCACCACUGGUGUGGCUUUUUACCUUGGCACAAGCUUGGUUACUUGAUCAUCGCAGAAGAAGAAAAUUGUAGCUUUGAGUUCAUGUGAGGCAGAGUAUAUUGCAGCCGCGGCAGCAGCGUGUCAGGGGGUGUGGCUGAGCAGACUUGUGAGUGAAAUGCUUGGUAGUACACCUCAGCCGGCAAGAUUGUUAGUGGAUAACAAGUCGGCAAUUGCUCUAAGCAGGAAUCCAGUGCAUCAUGAGAGAAGUAAGCACAUUGAUAUCAAAUAUCACUACAUUCGUGAGUGCAUUGAUGAAGGCAAGGUGAAGAUCGAUCACGUCGGCACAGGAGAUCAGGUGGCUGACAUUCUCACCAAGGCUCUUGGGCGAAACAAGUUCAUGGAACUGAGGCAGAAGCUCGAAGCAGUAGCUGUGCAACAAGAUUAGGGGGUGAAAUGUUGAAUAACUUGUUGCACACAUGCAUGUUUCUCUUUGGUUCAGUAGCGCAUUGUCACGUUGUUUAGGUGCAUUGCAUAAUUAGCUAGGCGUUUAGAGGUCACGAGUUAGCCUGAGGCGUGCACGUAGCGGGUGUCGCGGACAACAACGCGUGUCGCGCACCGUUGGUGGUGUGGCGUGGGAUUCGGUCGUUAAGGCAUGUAAUUCGGUGCAUAAAUACAAGUUUGUUUGGCAUCGAGGCUGCAACAUUCUGCAGCGAAAUACUUCCUACUCUCUCACGUUGUGUUGGUGUUCAUCGUGUUCCUCGAGUUCUAGACGCGUUCGCGUUCCUGUGUGCGUGAUCUGAGCUGCAAACUGAGUUCAGCUCCAACAAUGUAGAGCCCGUGUCAGCGUUGUCGCCGCUGUCGACACGCGCCGGCUUGGAGAACGUGAGCUCGGCGAAGUGAUUUCGGGGAUACUCAGGGGACGGCGCGGCGGCGUGGUGGGUUGGGUUGCCGUCGUCAUUGCUGCCGGAGCGCGUGGUGUCGAGGACGGGGAUGGAGAGCGCCCGGCGAUGUGUCGUGGGCUCUGGCGCGGAGGUGUUGCCGUGGCCGGUGGUGAAGGUGCGUCACGAGUGACGUGGGCGUUCCUCGCAAUCGACGGCCGCCGCUGAGGAGAGCCCGAGCUCGGGGAGGCAAUCAUCGCAAAUGGUGGUGUCGUCGGCGAGGAUGCACCGCGUGGCGACGUUGGGGUCGAGGCGGCGUCGACGGUCGUGGCCGGGGAAACUGACGGCAUCAACACGGCGUCCGCGAGAGCGCGGGGGAAGAGGUCGGCGGUCGUCGCGCUGGCGGUAGGGGAGGCCGUGCACGAGCUGGGGCUGUGGGCGCUUCCCGCGGCGUCGACGGCCCGCCGGGGGAGGAUCACGGCGCGGGCGGGAGCAUCCUUCAGCGGCGUUCCGGAUCUGCAGACGUGAGGUUGCCAAUCGUACCUGGGGUUGGAGGCCGUCGUCGUCCACCAGUGUCGGCGAUGCGGAGGGCGAGGGCCGUAGUAGUGCGUCGCGGAACGGCGUGGGGGAGGCCUCCGGUAGCUCCUCGUCGGAGAGGUCGUCGUCGGAGUCGGAGUCCAUCCAGCGGAGCUCCUUGGAGCGGCCGCCAGAGGCGCCCAUGGGGUGGAAGGGCUGAGCCUGAGCGCGUCAUUUGGAUACUGCUGAUUUGUUGGUUUAUUUAUUCGACCUAUAGGCCGUCCGGCAGUUCAAUAAUAAUACAGUAUAGACAUGGGUGGGAUGGUGAGUGGAGGCCCCAAGUCCCCAACGAUACAGUGGGCCGAGUACUGCCCACAAUGCGCAGG